Molecule: transfer RNA, 80 nt
Filed under: Bos taurus (domestic cattle)
Lineage: Eukaryota; Metazoa; Chordata; Mammalia; Artiodactyla; Bovidae
Also listed under: 4 other names
Rfam family: tRNA
About the family: Transfer RNA (tRNA) molecules are approximately 80 nucleotides in length. Their secondary structure includes four short double-helical elements and three loops (D, anti-codon, and T loops). Further hydrogen bonds mediate the characteristic L-shaped molecular structure. tRNAs have two regions of fundamental functional importance: the anti-codon, which is responsible for specific mRNA codon recognition, and the 3' end, to which the tRNAs corresponding amino acid is attached (by aminoacyl-tRNA synthetases). tRNAs cope with the degeneracy of the genetic code in two manners: having more than one tRNA (with a specific anti-codon) for a particular amino acid; and 'wobble' base-pairing, i.e. permitting non-standard base-pairing at the 3rd anti-codon position.
Source: Rfam by way of RNAcentral
UCCCCAUUGGCUCAGUGGUAAAGAAUCUGCCUGUGAUGCGGAAGAUGCAGGAGACCUAGGUUCAAUCCCUGGGUUGGGAA